Astyanax mexicanus (Mexican tetra) is the source of this 153-nucleotide small nuclear RNA. Its record names the gene U12. It matches the Rfam family "U12 minor spliceosomal RNA". Rfam says of the family: Although the U12 sequence is very divergent from that of U2, the two are functionally analogous. NCBI's taxonomy places the organism in Eukaryota, Metazoa, Chordata, Actinopteri, Characiformes, Acestrorhamphidae. The record is from Ensembl.
AUGCCUUAAACUGAUGAGUAAGGAAAAUAACGAUGCGGGGUGACGCCCGCGUCCUCGCUGAUACUCGCGAAAUGAAUUUUUGAACGGGUACAGGUCUGACCUGAGGGUGUCCAGCCUACUCUGCAGGAUGCCCCGGGAACCAGGAUCUGCCCC